UGUGUGAUGUGGUUGUGGUGGGUAGUAUUGAUAAGAAUGGACAUUGGGCCUAAGUCAACCCCAAAAGCUAGCUUAUGAGGUGAGGAUUGCCCAAGCCAUAUAAGGAGACCAAGGAUCUCAAAUCCCUCAGAUGUGGGACAACUCAACACCCCCAUCACGCCCAGAUCUCUGGAGCGUAGACAACAUAAAUGGGGGCCCAACAUCGGUAACAAUAAUUGGGAUGGGCCUGGCUCUGAUACCAUGAUAAGAAUGGACAUUGGGCCUAACUCAAC
This 272-nucleotide long non-coding RNA is filed under the name Nicotiana benthamiana. Its description in RNAcentral is "long non-coding RNA (NBEN_LNC041330)". The record is from RNAcentral. Lineage: Eukaryota; Viridiplantae; Streptophyta; Magnoliopsida; Solanales; Solanaceae.